Molecule: long non-coding RNA, 928 nt
Organism: Bombus pyrosoma
Lineage: Eukaryota; Metazoa; Arthropoda; Insecta; Hymenoptera; Apidae
Exons: 2
Source: RefSeq, a predicted model, not a curated record
UAAAGCAAAAUUUUUGACUGUAAAAUAGCCGACUAUGUUACUGAAGAAGGUAGUGCCAGUACUAGUGUCUUUUGUGCGUGAUUUUAGUUUUGCGACUUAUUUUGCAUUAUACAUAAAACAUGAGAUAUGUAUCACAUACAAAAAUUGAAAGUGAAAAAUUAGCCCAACAUUGUGAAGAAUAUAGGAUACUUUUGUUUAAGAAAUAAAAUAUAGUUCUUUGGUUAUUUCUCGGAACCAAUAAAUAUUUUGAGUAAAUCUUAACAUACUUAAACGUUUUAAAUUCUUGAGUAAGCUUGGAACAAUCGAUGCAAAAAGGGAUUACAAUAUAUGAAAAUAAAUAUGAAGAUCUUGCCAUGUUCAAUACACUGAAUAUUGAAGUAAAUGAUAUAUUGCUAGAAUUAUUCAUAAAUUAUUUUUGUUCAAACAUAUAAGUAAUUUUAGUUGUACAACAGUAGGCUCUAAUGUUUAGACUAUUGAAUAAUAUUUUUAAUUGAAUAUUUUGUUGGUAUAAUUUCUUCCACUAGAAAACAUUUUGAAAUUUUUAAAAAGAUACAGAAAUAUAUGUAUUAAAUAUGGAUGAUAAGCACCAAAUAAAUUUUGUUGUAAAAGAAUGUAUAACAGAUAUAGAUAUUAAACAAGAACAGCCAAACACAUAUGUCUCUAGUAAAGAUAACAAAACAUUUGUACAAUCAAAUGAAACAUUAGAUAAGAAAGAUUUGUUGAUAGCAAGAGCAAAUUGCUAAACAGAAAGAAUGUAUAUCGUAUUAUGAAAGUAUAGUACAGCUUAUAAAUUGUAAACUCAUGAAAUUGAAGAAACUUCGGAAAACUCGUUAAUUGUUGAAAGAACUUGAUUUGUAACUUUGGUAAACAGAAUAUAGUUGUUCCUUGAAAUAUUAAAUAUAAAUAAGUAAAAUUUAUAUUAAAAAUA